UGGGGAAUUUUGGACAAUGGGCGAAAGCCUGAUCCAGCAAUGCCGCGUGUGUGAAGAAGGCCUUCGGGUUGUAAAGCACUUUUGUCCGGAAAGAAAUCCUUGGCUCUAAUACAGUCGGGGGAUGACGGUACCGGAAGAAUAAGCACCGGCUAACUACGUGCCAGCAGCCGCGGUAAUACGUAGGGUGCAAGCGUUAAUCGGAAUUACUGGGCGUAAAGCGUGCGCAGGCGGUUUGCUAAGACCGAUGUGAAAUCCCCGGGCUCAACCUGGGAACUGCAUUGGUGACUGGCAGGCUAGAGUAUGGCAGAGGGGGGUAGAAUUCCACGUGUAGCAGUGAAAUGCGUAGAGAUGUGGAGGAAUACCGAUGGCGAAGGCAGCCCCCUGGGCCAAUACUGACGCUCAUGCACGAAAGCGUGGGGAGCAAACAGGAUUAGAUACCCUGGUAGUCCACGCCCUAAACGAUGUCAACUAGUUGUUGGGGAUUCAUUUCCUUAGUAACGUAGCUAACGCGUGAAGUUGACCGCCUGGGGAGUACGGUCGCAAGAUUAAAACUCAAAUGAAUUGACGGGG
This 570-nucleotide ribosomal RNA is filed under the name uncultured bacterium. RNAcentral's name for it is "partial 16S ribosomal RNA". It matches the Rfam family "Bacterial small subunit ribosomal RNA", at positions 355 to 918 of the family's 1533-position model. The record is from RNAcentral.